ACCUCAGUUCCCUGUAUGUCCUUUCCUCCAGUUCCCUGUAUGUCCUUUCCUAGUGUACGAACUAGGUGUCAUUCCAUAGGUUAGCUGUCUGGAGUGGAAACAUUAUUUUCCUGUUCGCUGUGGAUAAAGGAGAUGGCUGUGUGGAAAACUGUUCUUGAAAACGAAAAGUUAACGUUGCUGAUGUUGUCUUCACAGUACCUGGUCAGCGUUCCACUGAAGAUGCUGAGGCCAUGGGCUUUUAUGGGCAUGAUGGCUCAGCUUCCGCUGGCCUGGUUUGUGGCGCGUUUUCUCCGAGGUAACUAUGGCAACGCAGCCGUAUGGAUCUCUCUCAUCAUUGGCCAGCCAAUCGCCGUGCUCAUGUACGUCCACGACUACUAUGUACUUCACUACAGAGAGGGGUCGGCGGGGGGUGGACCUGAAUGACCUCCUCAGGGGAAUAUUUACCAGACCAGCCUUUUAUAGGAAAGACAAAUAGAGCUAGAAAUGUACUGUAUGGUACUUUAUGAAAGCACCUUAAAGGGGCAAUCAGCAUUUGCUACAUCCAUUUUUGGACUCAUACAUUAAUGAUAUGUACCAUUCGAUUCUUGAAGAACAACUUCUAAAUGUCUCACCAGCUUAGUUCAACUGUCGCUCUCCAUCACAAACCUAAAUAUAAGAUUGUAUUUACUCCAAUAUUUGGAAACAAAGAAUGUAAACAAACACUAUAUAGCCUCAAAACAUGGUUAAAACUAUACUUUUUUAUAUUGGAUGGUCAAUCGUUGCAUCCAUAGCUCUGUCCAUGAAUUUGAAAGUGAUAACAUUUCUCCAGUCCCAUCCCUCAGCGUUUACUGAACCAGGGGUGGGGAGGCAGCUUUGUUAUUGUUUCAACUGCUGAUUGCCACUUUAAAGAUAACACACUUCUUAUAGAAACAAUCAAUAUAGUUAGUGAAUAUUAGAAUAUGCCUUAUUGAAUCAUGUCUGACAAGUGCAAUUUUCAAAAAGUGCCAGUUUCUCAGAAAAUGUGCACAACCAGUACAUGUGUGUUUGUAAGAUUUAUGUGUUUUUAUGCCACUCAGGCCUCAAUAUUUAGUCAUCGUGUUUUACUUGGGUACGUAUAGAGGGAAAUGUAGAGAUAGGAAAAUGGCAGCUGGUGAUUCUUGACUUUAGUCCGUUAAUUGGGUCAUUAUUAUGUUGCCGACAGAACUACAUGGACAAGUAAAUAUAUUUCUCUAUUUA
This is a long non-coding RNA of Salvelinus fontinalis (brook trout), 1215 nucleotides long. RefSeq lists it as uncharacterized. NCBI's taxonomy places the organism in Eukaryota, Metazoa, Chordata, Actinopteri, Salmoniformes, Salmonidae. The record is from RefSeq and is a predicted model, not a curated record. The transcript is spliced from 2 exons.